RNAcentral lists this non-coding RNA (21 nucleotides) under Caenorhabditis elegans. Lineage: Eukaryota; Metazoa; Nematoda; Chromadorea; Rhabditida; Rhabditidae. The record is from RNAcentral.
UCAUGCUCUUUCAAAAAUAUG